GAGCAGGGAGCCCCAUGUGCAGCUCAAUCCCAGGACCCUGGGAUCGUGACCCUGAGCCGAAGUCAGACACUUAACUCACUGAGCCACCCAGGUGCCCCCUAUUCCUUGUCUUCAUCUAAUCUCAUCAGGAGAAACACACUCCUGCAGCUAAACCUCUAAAUCCCUGGAAUGACAUCUUUACUUAUAAAAACUGACAGCCAGAGAAACACAAGGGAGGGGACCAGCAGCUUGGUAACUUGACAGACAGCAAAGAGGAAGGGACUCCUUGGGAAAGUAAGUGGUCACUGAAACCACCACAGGAUGUUAACUUCUGUGCAGGCCCACUUUGCAAUGUAGCAAAUUACUGGGACAUUGAGAAGUAAUGAGGUCUCAUUAGAAUCCACUGGGACGUGGUUAUACCACAAAAUCCAAGUCCUAAAACUUUUAUGAUGGAGAAAGGAAAUAAGCCUCUUCAAACCUGAAUCCCUUACUAGUAAUAAAGAUCCAUUUGCCAAACAGAAGAAAAUUGAAAAUGAUUAUAACAAUUACAAAGGAGACUUUGUAGUCUCCUUCCACAGACCAGACAUAUAUCUCUGACGAAGAAAGGCAUAGGAGCUUCGUAUGCUUUUCUUUUAACACAGACUAAAACAGCUAAACAGUUCUGUUGUCCGUAAAUACUGGUCCUAAGACUAUCAGAUGGUCACUUUUUACUAUCUUAAAUUCUUUUUUUUAAUUGGGGAGAGAGCCUUACUUAGGAUUUUUCAGGACCCAGUGUGCAUCCUUACACAAUCUUCCAAUUUUAUCUUUAAAAUAAAAGAAUGAUUAUGUUCAAGACAUUAAAGGCAAAUAAUUUACAUCAGUGAAUUUUCAUUGUACAAGACAGUCACUUAAAAACGUCAUUUUUCCUUAAAUGUGAUCUUAAGAAAACAGAAUAAAGAAAAAUUAACUGGAGUGGGAAAUGCUAAGCAAAAAUAAAUAAAACACACACACACACACAUGUAUUUUCAAAUGUGCUGGGCUGGAGAAAGACAUGUUAAGCCCACACAAGAAAAUGCAUUUUUUUUUUUUUUUUUUUACUUUGGCAUAAAAGGGUAAGUUUCUUUGAUUUUUAGGAUAGAUUUGGUGCAUUUGAAAGUUCAAGUUUUGGCUCUGGAUUAGUUUUGCCUUUUUCCUUUGAAAAGGGCAGCUGAAGAGCUGGAGUUCCUAACCUGGGUAUCCCUGAGCGCGGCGAAUCCCUUGCAACUUUUUAAAACGAUGGCGACGUCGUGUUUGCAGCAGUGACGGUCCUUUACAUGGGCUUCCUCACCUCCGACCUGAGAACAAGUAGACGCCUCCCUGCGUGGACGCUGACCUCAAAACUCAGGGACGUGAACGGCUCUGAACCUCUGCCCGCUGGACUCAGUCCGACGACAACGCCUCCGAUCCCCUGCAACUGACCGGAUCCCGCUUGCCUGUGCUGGAAGCAGGUGUCAAGUCAGCCGGCGCUCGCCUCGCUACGGUGCAGAAAUGCCGUGUGAUGAGCUGAGGAACCGAGCCGUGCACGCUUCCUAACCAGGAGAGAGGAACUGCGCCGGGGAGGAAGCUACGCUAGCGUCCUGCGUUCGGUAAAGUCCCCAAUUUACGCAGGAAAGGGUCACCCUGCUUGCAGGGUGGUGUGAAACCUCCGAGCUGGUUGAUGACGAACUCGCCUCUUCUUAUUCUUGGGGACUCUAGACGGUCGGAGACCCUUGCAGGACCUCCCCAACGACCGCCCGUCUCUCAUGGCAGACCCCCCACCCCCGUCACCCCCGUCACCCCCAAGCUCUCGGACACCCUUACCUACUCGCGACCUUCCUCUCCCACGCGCACGCGCCCCUCUCCCGGAAGGCCCGCCCCCCGGCCCGGCUCCACGCUCCCGCGGGAGGGAGCCUACCACCGAGAGCAGCGGAGAAGCGGAAGCUUGCGGCUAGAGCGGAGCGCGGGGGAACCCGGAACUACUAGCGCUCUCGCUCGGAGGCCUCAGAGGUCAUCCCUGGCGCCUGCGCAGUGAGGGGCGUGCGCCGCGUAGGCGGAGCGCGGAGGUGGUUUACGGAGAUCGUCGCCCUACGGGAACGUCUUGCAGGGCAUCAGGUAGGAGUGCAUCUCGUGGCAAUCUUGGGAUCCCAUAAAGCCAUAUGUCUAUUUCUGGCCGAUGAGUUGUGAAUAGAAGUGAAGCAUCACCUUCACUCAUAUGGAACUCUCCAGAGGCCUCUUCUGUCUGGUGUAAAGGGUCCUUGCUCUGUCAGUGUAGUCCUCUGAGUGGUUAUGAGAAGUGGAUCCUGCUCUGUCAGCCACAACGUGCACAUAGCUUAGAGGGAGAGAGUGUGUGCACACAUGUGCACUAGGGAAGAGCAGAGGGAGAGAGAAUUUUAAGCAGCCUCCCCACCGAGUGCAGAGCUGUUCGUGAGGCUCCAUUUCACAACCCUGAGAUCAGGACCUGAGCUAAAAUCAGACUUGGCAGCUUAACCAACUGAGCCACCAGGGAAAUCCAUCCAUAAAGUGCAUGCCUGCCGGACCAAAACAUAAUGAUCCAGUUGAGGGAGGAGAUGGCUUUUUGCUUGCAUAUGUCAUAAAAAGAUGGAAAAUUUAAAGCAACGAGGAGAGUACCCUGGAAAAACCAUGACUUUUUUUCCUCCUGAAAACAAUCUUCACUGUCAAGAAGAGUAAGGCAAAAAUAUACAGUUCAAAGCCCUUAGAGGCAGAAUUAUCUCUAAGGAGAACACUUUUAAUUUUGGAUGUCAGUGAUUCUUUCAUAGAUAUUGUGCUUUUGAAUGAAUUGUUCAGUUGGAACCUAGGGAAUCCUGGCUGCAUGGGGAAUUAAUCAUACACAUAAAAG
Molecule: long non-coding RNA, 2833 nt
Organism: Canis lupus familiaris (dog)
Lineage: Eukaryota; Metazoa; Chordata; Mammalia; Carnivora; Canidae
Exons: 7
Source: RefSeq, a predicted model, not a curated record